Molecule: ribosomal RNA, 204 nt
Filed under: uncultured bacterium
Lineage: Bacteria
Description: partial 16S ribosomal RNA
Rfam family: Bacterial small subunit ribosomal RNA
Source: RNAcentral
UGUAGUCUGCAACUCGACUACAUGAAGCUGGAAUCGCUAGUAAUCGCGAAUCAGCAUGUCGCGGUGAAUGCGUUCCCGGGUCUUGUACACACCGCCCGUCACACCAUGGGAGUUGGUAACGCCCGAAGCCAGUGACCCAACCUCUAGAGGAGGGAGCUGUCGAAGGUGGGACCGAUAACUGGGGUGAAGUCGUAACAAGGUACC